This 254-nucleotide ribosomal RNA is filed under the name uncultured bacterium. RNAcentral's name for it is "partial 16S ribosomal RNA". It matches the Rfam family "Bacterial small subunit ribosomal RNA", at positions 524 to 776 of the family's 1533-position model. The record is from RNAcentral.
UACGUAGGGUGCAAGCGUUAAUCGGAAUCACUGGGCGUAAAGGGUGCGUAGGCGGGUCUUUUAAGUCAGGGGUGAAAUCCUGGAGCUCAACUCCAGAACUGCCUUUGAUACUGAGGAUCUUGAGUUCGGGAGAGGUGAGUGGAACUGCGAGUGUAGAGGUGAAAUUCGUAGAUAUUCGCAAGAACACCAGUGGCGAAGGCGGCUCACUGGCCCGAUACUGACGCUGAGGCACGAAAGCGUGGGGAGCAAACAGG